UGCCUUGCAAGUGAUGAACUUGCUCAC
This 27-nucleotide non-coding RNA is filed under the name Mus musculus (house mouse). The record is from RNAcentral. Lineage: Eukaryota; Metazoa; Chordata; Mammalia; Rodentia; Muridae.